UACAGAGGUCCCGAGCGUUGUUCGGAUUCAUUGGGCGUAAAGGGUGCGUAGGCGGCGGGGCAAGUCUGAUGUGAAAUCCCGGGGCUCAACCCCCGGAACUGCAUUGGAUACUGCCUUGCUCGAGUACUGGAGAGGGAACUGGAAUUUACGGUGUAGCAGUGAAAUGCGUAGAGAUCGUAAGGAAGGCCAGUGGCGAAGGCGAGUUCCUGGACAGUUACUGACGCUGAGGCACGAAGGCCAGGGAGCAAACGGG
This 253-nucleotide ribosomal RNA is filed under the name uncultured bacterium. RNAcentral describes it as "partial 16S ribosomal RNA". It matches the Rfam family "Bacterial small subunit ribosomal RNA", at positions 524 to 776 of the family's 1533-position model. The record is from RNAcentral.